GUCCCAGGGGGCGGGGCAGAGGAAAAGGCGCCGGCCCCACAGUGCUCCCCGCUUCCGCCCAGUCCAGCCCGGGCCGGCUGACCGGGUCCGACACAGUCUCCUGGACCAGGCUCCCUCCAUCCUCACCCCUCCCCCAGCUUCCCGCCGCCACUCACCGAACCGGAACCGGCUGCCAUGCGAAGGGGUUUCCGGCCGGGCGCGGAACGCAAAACCCGGGAACCGCCGCGAACCGGAACCGCCUUCACAGCACCGGAAGAGUCGCUAGGAGGCAGCCAUGCAUAAAGACGAGUUUCAUCUGAAAUUUUUCAUGUGUGUGAUUCAGUCUCGCCAGUUAGUCAGGACUCCUCAGAGAACAGCUGGGGAAGCUUCUACUUCCAGCAUGCUCAUACCAAAGCCACCACCAAAGACAGACAUCUUGAAGAGUCUAGAUACUAUGGAUGAUCCAGACACCGUGGGAAGCAUACCUGUUUUCAAAACUGAAUGUGCAGAGGUAGAGAUACAAGUAAGCAAGAGGAAGAGGGCAGUGGUAAAAGCAAGAGGAGACCCGACUGUGGAGACAAUGAAGCAAAGGGAAGAGUGGAUCAUGACCCAUGAAGAGCACCAUGCAGCCAAAACCCUGGGGAUUGGCAAAGCCAUUGCUGUCUUAACCUCUGGUGGAGAUGCCCAAGAGAUGGGACGGGAUCGGCCAGGUGCAGUGGCUCACACCUGUAAUCCCAGGACUUUGGGAGGCCGAGGCGGGCAGAUCACCCGAGGUUGGGAGUUCGAGACCAGCCUGACCAACAUGGAGAAACCCCGUCUCUACUAAAAAUACAAAAUUAGCUGGGCGUGGUGGUGCAUGCCUGUAAUCCCAGCCACUUGGGAGGCUGAGGCAGGAGAAUCGCUUGAACCCGGGAGGCAGAGGUUGCGGUAUGAAUGCUGCUGUCAGGGCUGUGGUUCGAGUUGGUAUCUUCACCGGUGCCCGUGUCUUCUUUGUCCAUGAGGGUUAUCAAGGCCUGGUGGAUGGUGGAGAUCACAUCAAGGAAGCCACCUGGGAGAGCGUUUCGAUGAUGCUUCAGCUGGGAGGCACGGUGAUUGGAAGUGCCCGGUGCAAGGACUUUCGGGAACGAGAAGGACGACUCCGAGCUGCCUACAACCUGGUGAAGCGUGGGAUCACCAAUCUCUGUGUCAUUGGGGGUGAUGGCAGCCUCACUGGGGCUGACACCUUCCGUUCUGAGUGGAGUGACUUGUUGAGUGACCUCCAGAAAGCAGGUAAGAUCACAGAUGAGGAGGCUACGAAGUCCAGCUACCUGAACAUUGUGGGCCUGGUUGGGUCAAUUGACAAUGACUUCUGUGGCACCGAUAUGACCAUUGGCACUGACUCUGCCCUGCAUCGGAUCAUGGAAAUUGUAGAUGCCAUCACUACCACUGCCCAGAGCCACCAGAGGACAUUUGUGUUAGAAGUAAUGGGCCGCCACUGUGGAUACCUGGCCCUUGUCACCUCUCUGUCCUGUGGGGCCGACUGGGUUUUUAUUCCUGAAUGUCCACCAGAUGACGACUGGGAGGAACACCUUUGUCGCCGACUCAGCGAGACAAGGACCCGUGGUUCUCGUCUCAACAUCAUCAUUGUGGCUGAGGGUGCAAUUGACAAGAAUGGAAAACCAAUCACCUCAGAAGACAUCAAGAAUGUUCGUAUGAAUGAAGCCAGAGAGGCCUUAGAAUCCAUAGCCCAUUCCCUUCUGGCUUCUGAGUCUCCUGACAUUGCUUCUCCCCUUGGUCCUUCUGCACAUCUCUCCCUGGUUCCCUGCCCCUGAUUGCCUCCCACAAAGAACCAUUACAAGACAAGAGGCUGAGCUGUCCAUGGUUUACCCAAGUCUCUGCUUGUUUUCUUCCUUUGACUCUGCGUAACCCUCUCUCUGUCCCUCUGUUGGUCCCUUCAGCUGGUGGUUAAGCGUCUGGGAUAUGACACCCGGGUUACUGUCUUGGGGCAUGUGCAGAGGGGUGGGACGCCAUCAGCCUUUGACAGAAUUCUGGGCAGCAGGAUGGGUGUGGAAGCAGUGAUGGCACUUUUGGAGGGGACCCCAGAUACCCCAGCCUGUGUAGUGAGCCUCUCUGGUAACCAGGCUGUGCGCCUGCCCCUCAUGGAAUGUGUCCAGGUGACCAAAGAUGUGACCAAGGCCAUGGAUGAGAAGAAAUUUGACGAAGCCCUGAAGCUGAGAGGCCGGAGCUUCAUGAACAACUGGGAGGUGUACAAGCUUCUAGCUCAUGUCAGACCCCCGGUAUCUAAGAGUGGUUCGCACACAGUGGCUGUGAUGAACGUGGGGGCUCCGGCUGCAGGCAUGAAUGCUGCUGUUCGCUCCACUGUGAGGAUUGGCCUUAUCCAGGGCAACCGAGUGCUCGUUGUCCAUGAUGGUUUCGAGGGCCUGGCCAAGGGGCAGAUAGAGGAAGCUGGCUGGAGCUAUGUUGGGGGCUGGACUGGCCAAGGUGGCUCUAAACUUGGGACUAAAAGGACUCUACCCAAGAAGAGCUUUGAACAGAUCAGUGCCAAUAUAACUAAGUUUAACAUUCAGGGCCUUGUCAUCAUUGGGGGCUUUGAGGCUUACACAGGGGGCCUGGAACUGAUGGAGGGCAGGAAGCAGUUUGAUGAGCUCUGCAUCCCAUUUGUGGUCAUUCCUGCUACAGUCUCCAACAAUGUCCCUGGCUCAGACUUCAGCGUUGGGGCUGACACAGCACUCAAUACUAUCUGCACAACCUGUGACCGCAUCAAGCAGUCAGCAGCUGGCACCAAGCGUCGGGUGUUUAUCAUUGAGACUAUGGGUGGCUACUGUGGCUACCUGGCUACCAUGGCUGGACUGGCAGCUGGGGCCGAUGCUGCCUACAUUUUUGAGGAGCCCUUCACCAUUCGAGACCUGCAGGCAAAUGUUGAACAUCUGGUGCAAAAGAUGAAAACAACUGUGAAAAGGGGCUUGGUGUUAAGGAAUGAAAAGUGCAAUGAGAACUAUACCACUGACUUCAUUUUCAACCUGUACUCUGAGGAGGGGAAGGGCAUCUUCGACAGCAGGAAGAAUGUGCUUGGUCACAUGCAGCAGGGUGGGAGCCCAACCCCAUUUGAUAGGAAUUUUGCCACUAAGAUGGGCGCCAAGGCUAUGAACUGGAUGUCUGGGAAAAUCAAAGAGAGUUACCGUAAUGGGCGGAUCUUUGCCAAUACUCCAGAUUCGGGCUGUGUUCUGGGGAUGCGUAAGAGGGCUCUGGUCUUCCAACCAGUGGCUGAGCUGAAGGACCAGACAGAUUUUGAGCAUCGAAUCCCCAAGGAACAGUGGUGGCUGAAACUGAGGCCCAUCCUCAAAAUCCUAGCCAAGUACGAGAUUGACUUGGACACUUCAGACCAUGCCCACCUGGAGCACAUCACCCGGAAGCGGUCCGGGGAAGCUGCCGUCUAAACCUCUCUGGAGUGAGGGGAAUAGAUUACCUGAUCAUGGUCAGCUCACACCCUAAUAAGUCCACAUCUUCUCAGUGUUUUAGCUGUUUUUUUCAUUAGGUUUCCUUUUAUUCUGUACCUUGCAGCCAUGACCAGUUCUGGCCAGGAGCUGGAGGAGCAGGCAGUGGGUGGGAGCUCCUUUUAGGUAGAAUUUAACAUGACUUCUGCCCCAGCUUUAUCUGUCACACAAGGCUGGGCACCUCUAGUGCUACUGCUAGAUAUCACUUACUCAGUUAGAAUUUUCCUAAAAAUAAGCUUUAUUUAUUUCUUUGUGAUAACAAAGAGUCUUGGUUCCUCUACUACUUUUACUACAGUGACAAAUUGUAACUACACUAAUAAAUGCCAACUGGUCACUGUGCUUUUGCUUCUCCUGUUAUCAUCUUCCUAAGUGGAAUGUAAUACUGUCAGCCCCAUGUAUCAGACACUUGUCUGAUGAAGCAGUAAAGACGUUAAGGGUAUCACAGGGGGUGGAGGAAGGGAUUAUCUCUAGUACACUACUUGCUGGCUGUCUGAAAAAUUGUCACUGCCAAACUCUAAAAACAGUUCUAAAUAGUGACUGAGAAGGUUUGUUGCUGGAGUCAGGGAAUAAGGCAGCCAAAUACUCUUUGCACAGUUCUUUAGUGGGAAGAGAAAUUAACAAUAAAUAUCAAGCACUGUG
This is an RNA transcript of Homo sapiens (human), 4112 nucleotides long. It is a transcript of the gene named phosphofructokinase, muscle, with no coding region annotated. The transcript is spliced from 26 exons. Lineage: Eukaryota; Metazoa; Chordata; Mammalia; Primates; Hominidae. The record is from RefSeq and is marked reviewed.